This 65-nucleotide transfer RNA is filed under the name Aphanius fasciatus. RNAcentral's name for it is "tRNA-Cys". It matches the Rfam family "tRNA". From Rfam's summary of the family: Transfer RNA (tRNA) molecules are approximately 80 nucleotides in length. Lineage: Eukaryota; Metazoa; Chordata; Actinopteri; Cyprinodontiformes; Aphaniidae. The record is from RNAcentral.
AGUCUUGAGGUGUUAACAUAUCAGAUUGCAAAUCUGAAGAAGCAGGAUAACACCUGCCGGGGCUU